This 1030-nucleotide long non-coding RNA is filed under the name Gossypium barbadense (sea-island cotton). RNAcentral's name for it is "long non-coding RNA (GBAR_LNC012996)". Lineage: Eukaryota; Viridiplantae; Streptophyta; Magnoliopsida; Malvales; Malvaceae. The record is from RNAcentral.
UAAUUUGACCAUUUCAUUUGUCUAUACCUUUACAACUUUUAAAGAAAUAAAUCAAACUUUUAUCAUUUUUGGAAGUUAAAGUGCAAUUUUAUCAAUACUAAUUUAAAGUUUUGUAAAUUAUAAAAGGGUCUAAAUGAAAAAAAGUUUCAUUUGAGAGUAAACGGAACCCUACCAGCACCUAGUUUUGCGUUUGAUUUAUACUAUCAAAUGAAAUUAAGUAUUUAGUUUGUACCUGUAAAACCCAAUUUUUACCAGGCCCAAAUACCCAAUUACGGCCCAUUCACAUACAAAACAAAAACAAAAUAGUCCAUUACAAAAUUUAAAGCCCAAGCUUAAAUGCUGGCCCAAAACAUAAUUUUGGCCCGUUAAAACAAGCUCAAUGGCCCAAAAUUUUUUUUAAAUAAAUAACAAACCCUAGCUUUGAGGCUCUCUCUUUGGCCAGCGCCGCCACCACCUCCACGCACUACCCACGUUCUCCACCAUCAUUCACCAUGCACCAACGUACCAUGUCCAAGCCACGUUCACCAUACCUGCAAAUGUGCACAAAAACGAUUGUAAAUGGCUAUAUAAGGCCACGAAUAUGUAAUCUUGUUUUUUUUUUUCGGAGAAUACAAAAUAUACACAAAGAAUCAAAGAGUAGUUAAACGAAUACUUCAAGGUGGUUGUUCAUCAUUAUUUUAUUCUGUUUUUUCAUCAUUAUUUUAUUCUGUUUUUUCUUUUUUUCCAUUUUCAUUUGAGUCCACGAAAUACAAGCUAACAUUUUAUAAAAGGGAGAGACGUACCUUUCGAUUCGCUGGCAAAAGGGGGUGAACUUCGGCCUUCCGAUGGCUGUUUACGGCCGAGCAUGAGGCGGCGAAUGAGAGCUGGGUUUUAGUCCUUUGACUGGGAAGUGGGGAAGAAGAAAGAGUUUUGGUUUUUUUUUUUUAAAAAAACCAAAAGGGUAAAAUGUUUUUAAGGAGAAAGAGAAUUUGAAAAAAGGGGUUUUGGGUUUUCUAAAUCUUUAAUGUUUUUAAAAAAAAUAAUAAAUGUU